RNAcentral lists this ribosomal RNA (505 nucleotides) under uncultured bacterium. RNAcentral describes it as "partial 16S ribosomal RNA". It matches the Rfam family "Bacterial small subunit ribosomal RNA", at positions 28 to 507 of the family's 1533-position model. The record is from RNAcentral.
GACGAACGCUGGCGGCGUGCCUAAUACAUGCAAGUAGAACGCACAGUUUAUACCGUAGCUUGCUACACCAUAGACUGUGAGUUGCGAACGGGUGAGUAACGCGUAGGUAACCUGCCUGGUAGCGGGGGAUAACUAUUGGAAACGAUAGCUAAUACCGCAUAAUAUUGAUUAUUGCAUGAUAAUUGAUUGAAAGAUGCUAUUGCAUCACUACCAGAUGGACCUGCGUUGUAUUAGCUAGUAGGUGAGGUAACGGCUCACCUAGGCGACGAUACAUAGCCGACCUGGGAGGGUGAUCGGCCACACUGGGACUGGGACACGGCCCAGACUCCUACGGGAGGCAGCAGUAGGGAAUCUUCGGCAAUGGACGAAAGUCUGACCGAGCAACGCCGCGGGAGUGAAGAAGGGUUUCGGAUCGUAAAGCUCUGUUGUAAGAGAAGAACGGGUGUGAGGGUGGAAAGUUCACACUGUGACGGUAUCUUACCAGAAAGGGACGGCUAACUACGUG